UGGGGAAUAUUGGACAAUGGGCGAAAGCCUGAUCCAGCCAUGCCGCGUGUGUGAAGAAGGUCUUCGGAUUGUAAAGCACUUUAAGUUGGGAGGAAGGGCAGUAAGCGAAUACCUUGCUGUUUUGACGUUACCGACAGAAUAAGCACCGGCUAACUCUGUGCCAGCAGCCGCGGUAAUACAGAGGGUGCAAGCGUUAAUCGGAAUUACUGGGCGUAAAGCGCGCGUAGGUGGUUCGUUAAGUUGAAUGUGAAAGCCCCGGGCUCAACCUGGGAACUGCAUCCCAAACUGGCGAGCUAGAGUAGGGCAGAGGGUGGUGGAAUUUCCUGUGUAGCGGUGAAAUGCGUAGAUAUAGGAAGGAACACCGGUGGCGAAGGCGGCCACCUGGGCUCAUACUGACACUGAGGUGCGAAAGCGUGGGGAGCAAACAGG
This 429-nucleotide ribosomal RNA is filed under the name Pseudomonadota bacterium. RNAcentral's name for it is "Proteobacteria bacterium partial 16S ribosomal RNA". It matches the Rfam family "Bacterial small subunit ribosomal RNA", at positions 355 to 776 of the family's 1533-position model. Lineage: Bacteria; Pseudomonadati; Pseudomonadota. The record is from RNAcentral.